This 425-nucleotide ribosomal RNA is filed under the name Azadinium dalianense. RNAcentral's name for it is "partial large subunit ribosomal RNA". It matches the Rfam family "Eukaryotic large subunit ribosomal RNA", at positions 345 to 653 of the family's 3401-position model. The record is from RNAcentral. Lineage: Eukaryota; Dinophyceae; Gonyaulacales; Amphidomataceae.
CAAGUACCAUGAGGGAAAGAUGAAAAGGACUUUGAAAAGAGAGUUAAAAGUGCCUGAAAUUGCUGAAAGGGAAGCGAAUGGAACCAGUGUUCUUGAUGAGAUUGCUGCGUACUCUGGUGAUUGUUGGGUGUUCCACCGCAAGGGGGGCAUCUGGUUUUGAGCUAGAUGUGCGUGGUGUUUCUUGUCUUGUGUGUCACCGUCGGUGCUCAAGCGAGGAAAACUCUAGGGAACUGGUAGCUCGCCUCCGGGUGUGUGAAUGUCCUUGGUAGUACUCAUUUGUGUAUCGAUUUUUGCGUGUCUGGUUGCAGUGUUUGAGUCGCCAGGAUGUUUUUCUGAAGGGACUUGUCCUUGAUGAAAUCCGCCUUGGCGCCUUGAGCAUCUCCCUGACACAAAGACGAUGACUAAAUGGUUCUAUUCGACCCGUC